Molecule: long non-coding RNA, 394 nt
Filed under: Elaeis guineensis (African oil palm)
Lineage: Eukaryota; Viridiplantae; Streptophyta; Magnoliopsida; Arecales; Arecaceae
Description: long non-coding RNA (EGUI_LNC058661)
Source: RNAcentral
CGUCCGAACUUCUACAAUAAGUGGCCUCCUUCCGGACUCCUUCAAGAACCGGACUCCGUCCGAACUUCUACAAUAGAAUUGAAUUCCAGACUCCUCCAUCGAUCGACCUUCCACAGUGUCUUCAAGACUCCUCUAGUGGACAAACUUUCACAAUGCCUUUCGAACUCCACUAUCGAUCGAUCUUUUGCUGGAUUUCUCAUGAAAUCGGACCUCUCCAGCGGACAGUCUUCAGACGAGCUUCUACAUCAGAUAAAUUUCAGACAGACUUCUCUAGCAAUCGGACUCCUGUCGGACUUGUCCAACAGAAAGUUUCUACCCGAGCUUCUAUAGUAGAUGACUUCCGUCUGCAACAUCGACGACUAUGAAGCAAAAUUCAGUGCAGGGGUAAAAUGAU